GCUGCGGUAGCUCAGUGGUAGAGCGGAGGAUUGCAGUACCUCAGCAUCCUCAGGUCCUGUGUUCGAACCACAGUCGCAGCU
This 81-nucleotide transfer RNA is filed under the name Blumeria graminis f. sp. tritici. It matches the Rfam family "tRNA". From Rfam's summary of the family: Transfer RNA (tRNA) molecules are approximately 80 nucleotides in length. RNAcentral also lists the same sequence under 1 other name. The record is from Rfam by way of RNAcentral. Lineage: Eukaryota; Fungi; Ascomycota; Leotiomycetes; Helotiales; Erysiphaceae.